AGAGCGAACGUUAGCGGCGGGCCUAACACAUGCAAGUCGAGCGAGAAAAGGGCUUCGGCCCUGAGUAAAGCGGCAGACGGGUGAGGAACACGUAGGUAACCUUCCUUUCAGCGGAGGACAACGGUCCGAAAGGACCGCUAAUACUGCAUACGUUCCCCGGGAUUCCGAUUCUGGGGAGGAAAGCCCCGCAAGGGGCACUGAAAGAGGGGCCUGCGUCGCAUCAGCUAGUUGGUGGGGUAACGGCCUACCAAGGCGAAGACGCGUAGCUGGUCUGAGAGGAUGAUCAGCCACACUGGGACUGAGACACGGCCCAGACUCCUACGGGAGGCAGCAGUGGGGAAUAUUGGACAAUGGGCGCAAGCCUGAUCCAGCCACGCCGCGUGAGUGAUGAAGGCCUUCGGGUCGUAAAGCUCGUGUGGGAGGACGAAAGUCCCGUACGAAGAGACGGGGUGACGGUACCGUCCUUAGCAAGCACCGGCUAAACUUCGUGCCGAGCAGCCGC
This 502-nucleotide ribosomal RNA is filed under the name uncultured soil bacterium. Its description in RNAcentral is "bacterial SSU rRNA". It matches the Rfam family "Bacterial small subunit ribosomal RNA", at positions 26 to 518 of the family's 1533-position model. The record is from RNAcentral.